RNAcentral lists this ribosomal RNA (871 nucleotides) under uncultured bacterium. RNAcentral's name for it is "bacterial SSU rRNA". It matches the Rfam family "Bacterial small subunit ribosomal RNA", at positions 28 to 896 of the family's 1533-position model. The record is from RNAcentral.
GACGAACGCUGGCGGCGUGCUUAACACAUGCAAGUCUACGGGAAAAGGGUAGCAAUACUCUGAGCACAGUGGCGCACGGGUGCGUAACACGUAAGCAAUCUACCUUUGGAUGCGGAAUAACGUCGAGAAAUCGGCGCUAAUACCACAUAAUGCAGCGGCAUCGCAUGGUGAUGUUGUUAAAGUCUAUAUGACGUCUAAAGAUGAGCUUGCGGCUGAUUAGCUAGUUGGUGAGGUAAUGGCCCACCAAGGCAACGAUCAGUAGCUGGUCUGAGAGGAUGAUCAGCCACACUGGAACUGAGACACGGUCCAGACUCCUACGGGAGGCAGCAGUGAGGAAUAUUGGGCAAUGCCCGCAAGGGUGACCCAGCAACGCCGCGUGGAAGACGAAGGCCGUAAGGUUGUAAAUUCCUGUUAGAGGGGACGAAUAACUCCGAUCGACUCGGAGCUUGACGGUACCCUCAAAGAAAGCCCCGGCUAACUACGUGCCAGCAGCCGCGGUAAUACGUAGGGGGCAAGCGUUGUCCGGAUUUACUGGGUGUAAAGGGCGCGUAGGCGGAUUUGUAAGUCAGUGGUGAAAUCCUGCAGCUUAACUGCAGAACUGCCAUUGAUACUGCAAAUCUUGAGUGCGGAAGAGAGAGAUGGAAUUCCAGGUGUAGUGGUGAAAUACGUAGAUAUCUGGAAGAACACCAGUUGCGAAGGCGAUCUCUUGGUCCGUUACUGACGCUGAGGCGCGAAAGCGUGGGUAGCAAACAGGAUUAGAUACCCUGGUAGUCCACGCUGUAAACGAUGAAUACUAGGUGUUGGGCCGCAAGGUUCAGUGCCGCAGCUAACGCAUUAAGUAUUCCACCUGGGGAGUACGAUCGCAAGGUUG